GACGAACGCUGGCGGCGUGCCUAAUACAUGCAAGUAGAACGCACAGUUUAUACCGUAGCUUGCUACACCAUAGACUGUGAGUUGCGAACGGGUGAGUAACGCGUAGGUAACCUGCCUGGUAGCGGGGGAUAACUAUUGGAAACGAUAGCUAAUACCGCAUAAUAUUAAUUAUUGCAUGAUAAUUAAUUGAAAGGUGCAAUUGCACCACUACCAGAUGGACCUGCGUUGUAUUAGCUAGUAGGUGAGGUAACGGCUCACCUAGGCGACGAUACAUAGCCGACCUGAGAGGGUGAUCGGCCACACUGGGAAUGUGACACGGCCCAGACUCCUACGGGAGGCAGCAGGAGGGAAUCUUCGGCAAUGGACGAAAGUCUGACCGAGCAACGCCGCGUGAGUGAAGAAGGUUUUCGGAUCGUAAAGCUCUGUUGUAAGAGAAGAACGGGUGUGAGAGUGGAAAGUUCACACUGUGACGGUAUCUUACCAGAAAGGGACGGCUAACUACGUG
This 505-nucleotide ribosomal RNA is filed under the name uncultured bacterium. Its description in RNAcentral is "partial 16S ribosomal RNA". It matches the Rfam family "Bacterial small subunit ribosomal RNA", at positions 28 to 507 of the family's 1533-position model. The record is from RNAcentral.